RNAcentral lists this ribosomal RNA (251 nucleotides) under uncultured Bordetella sp. RNAcentral's name for it is "partial 16S ribosomal RNA". It matches the Rfam family "Bacterial small subunit ribosomal RNA", at positions 524 to 774 of the family's 1533-position model. Lineage: Bacteria; Pseudomonadati; Pseudomonadota; Betaproteobacteria; Burkholderiales; Alcaligenaceae. The record is from RNAcentral.
UACGUAGGGUGCAAGCGUUAAUCGGAAUUACUGGGCGUAAAGCGUGCGCAGGCGGUUCGGAAAGAAAGAUGUGAAAUCCCAGGGCUUAACCUUGGAACUGCAUUUUUAACUACCGGGCUAGAGUGUGUCAGAGGGAGGUGGAAUUCCGCGUGUAGCAGUGAAAUGCGUAGAUAUGCGGAGGAACACCGAUGGCGAAGGCAGCCUCCUGGGAUAACACUGACGCUCAUGCACGAAAGCGUGGGUAGUGAACG